UUAAGUAAGGAAGGGCGUACGGCGAAUGCCUUGCCACUCGAAACUGAAGAAGGACGCGCCAAACUGCGAAAAGCUCCGUGAAGCUGUAAGGAAGCGAAGAAGCGGAGGUGUCCGAAUGGGGGAACCCGGCAGCAGACAUGAGCUGUCAUCUGCAGGUGAAUACAUGGCCUGCAAGAGAGGUACCCGGCGAACUGAAACAUCUAAGUAGCCGGAGGAAAAGAAAACAACAGUGAUUCCCUGAGUAGCGGCGAGCGAAAGGGGAGAAGCCCAAACCGGUCCGAGGGCCGGGGUUGAAGGACCAUGAUAUGGCAAGAACGAGGAUAGGAGAACGGGAUCGAAAGCCCGGCCGAAGAAGGUGAAAGCCCUGUAACCGAAAUCCAAGGGAAGCCUAAUGGGAUCCUGAGUACGGCGAGACACGAGAAAUCUUGUCGGAAGCAGGCGGGACCAUCCGCCAAGGCUAAAUAUAAACGAGUGAGCGAUAGUGAACCAGUACCGUGAGGGAAAGGUGAAAAGAACCGCGGGAGCGGAGUGAAAGAGAACCUGAAACCGUAUGCCUACAAGAAGUCAGAGCCCGUUAAGGGGUGAUGGCGUGCCUUUUGUAGAAUGAACCGGCGAGUUGCGACAGACUGCGAGGUUAAGGAGGAAAGACCGGAGCCGAAGCGAAAGCGAGUCUUAAUAGGGCGAAAGUAGGAUGUUGCAGACCCGAAACCGGGUGAUCUAGCCAUGAGCAGGUUGAAGUUGAGGUGAAACUCAAUGGAGGACCGAACCGACUACCGUUGAAAAGUUAGCGGAUGACUUGUGGCUAGGGGAGAAAUUCCAAUCGAACCCGGAGAUAGCUGGUUCUCCCCGAAAUAGCUUUAGGGCUAGCGUCGGAAAGAACCUUAGUGAAGGUAGAGCACUGAAUGUGUGAUGGCCCCAUCCCGGGGUACUGAAUACAAUCAAACUGCGAAUGUCAUUAAGGAUGUCCGGCAGUCAGACUGUGAGUGAUAAGGUCCAUGGUCAAGAGGGAAACAGCCCAGACCGCCAGUUAAGGUCCCAAAAUACAGGCUAAGUGGAAAAGGAUGUGGGGAUGCCCAGACAACUAGGAGGUUGGCUCAGAAGCAGCCAUCCUUUAAAGAGUGCGUAACAGCUCACUAGUCGAGUGACCCUGCGCCGAAAAUGUACCGGGGCUAAGCCUGAUACCGAAACUGCGGAUUGUAGGAAACUAUAGUGGUAGGGGAGCGUUGUAUACGAGCAGAAGCCGUACCGUGAGGAGCGGUGGAUUGUAUAGAAGUGAGAAUGCCGGUGUGAGUAGCGAGAUGUAGGUGAGAAUCCUACACACCGAAAGCCCAAGGAUUCCAGGGGAAGGUUCGUCCGCCCUGGGUAAGUCGGGACCUAACGCGAGGCCGAAAGGCGUAGUGGAUGGAAAGCAGGCGAAAGAUUCCUGCACCCGUAUAUGGAGCGAAGGAGUGACGGAGACGGAUAGUGUGACCCUCUUAAUGGAUUGAGGGCGAAGCGAAGCGGCUGGUUACCAGGCAAAUCCGGUAACCUUAAGGCUAGAGCGUGACAGGUAAGCGAAAUCUUAGGAAAGUAGCGAAGCACAUGAUGACGGCUUCCAGGAAAAGCUUCUGGCAAUGCAUAUGCGGCCCGUACCAAAACCGACACAGGUGGGCAGGGAGAGAAUCCCGAGGUGAGCGAGAGAACUGUUGCCAAGGAACUCGGCAAAAUGACUCCGUAAGUUAGCGAGAAGGAGUGCUUAAGCAAUUAAGCCGCAGUGAAGAGGCCCAAGCGACUGUUUAACUAAAACACAGCUCUCUGCGAAGUCGCAAGACGAAGUAUAGGGGGUGACACCUGCCCGGUGCUGGAAGGUUAAGAGGAUCUGUUAAGAGCGAUCUGAAGCAGUGAUCCGAAGCCCCAGUGAACGGCGGCCGUAACUAUAACGGUCCUAAGGUAGCGAAAUUCCUUGUCAGGUAAGUUCUGACCCGCACGAAAGGUGUAACGAUUUGGGCGCUGUCUCGGCAGCAGACUCGGUGAAAUCUUAGUACCUGUGAAAAUGCAGGUUACCCGCAACUAGACGGAAAGACCCCAUGGAGCUUUACUGCAGCCUGAUAUUGAAUUCUGGUCAUACAUGUACAGGAUAGGUGGGAGACAAAGAGACGUGCACGCCAGUGUACGAGGAGUCGGCGUUGGGAUACCACUCUUGUGUGACCGGGGUUCUAACCUGGUAUCGAGAACAGGUACGGGGAGAGUGUCAGGUGGGCAGUUUGACUGGGGCGGUCGCCUCCCAAAGAGUAACGGAGGCGCCCAAAGGUUCCCUCAGAAUGGUUGGAAAUCAUUCGUAGAGUGUAAUGGCAGAAGGGAGCUUAACUGCGAGACCUACAAGUCAAGCAGAUGCGAAAGCAGGGCAUAGUGAUCUUGCGAUCCCGAAUGGAAGGGUCGUUGCUUAACGGAUAAAAGUUACCCCGGGGAUAACAGGCUGAUCCCACCCAAUAGUUCAUAUAGACGGUGGGGUUUGGCACCUCGAUGUCGGCUCGUCGUAUCCUGGAGGUGGAAUCGCUUCCAAGGGUUGGGCUGUUCGCCCAUUAAAACGGCACGCGAGCUGGGUUCAGAACGUCGUGAGACAGUUCGGUCUCUAUCCGUAGUGGGCGUUAGAAAAUUGAGGAGUGCUUUUCCUAGUACGAGAGGACCGGAAAGGACGAACCGAUGGUGUAUCUGUUGUCACGCCAGUGGCAGUGCAGAGUAGCUAUGUUCGGAAGGGAUAAUCGCUGAAGGCAUCUAAGCGUGAAGCCCUCUCCAAGAUGAGUUUUCUUUAUCUUCAAGAUAUAAGAUCCCUUGUAGACGACAAGGUUGAUAGGUUAGAUGUGUAAGCAUAGUGAUAUGUUGAGCUGACUAAUACUAAUAGAUCGACAAUUUAAUCAU
This 2898-nucleotide ribosomal RNA is filed under the name human gut metagenome. RNAcentral describes it as "bacterial LSU rRNA". It matches the Rfam family "Bacterial large subunit ribosomal RNA". The record is from RNAcentral.